Molecule: ribosomal RNA, 830 nt
Filed under: Pseudomonas sp. LCK-2009.15a
Lineage: Bacteria; Pseudomonadati; Pseudomonadota; Gammaproteobacteria; Pseudomonadales; Pseudomonadaceae
Description: partial 16S ribosomal RNA
Rfam family: Bacterial small subunit ribosomal RNA
Source: RNAcentral
UAACACAUGCAAGUCGAGCGGNUGAAAGGAGCUUGCUCCUGGAUUCAGCGGCGGACGGGUGAGUAAUGCCUAGGAAUCUGCCUGGUAUAGGGGGACAACGUUUCGAAAGGAACGCUAAUACCGCAUACGUCCUACGGGAGAAAGCAGGGGACCUUCGGGCCUUGCGCUAUCAGAUGAGCCUAGGUCGGAUUAGCUAGUUGGUGAGGUAAUGGCUCACCAAGGCGACGAUCCGUAACUGGUCUGAGAGGAUGAUCAGUCACACUGGAACUGAGACACGGUCCAGACUCCUACGGGAGGCAGCAGUGGGGAAUAUUGGACAAUGGGCGAAAGCCUGAUCCAGCCAUGCCGCGUGUGUGAAGAAGGUCUUCGGAUUGUAAAGCACUUUAAGUUGGGAGGAAGGGCAGUAAAUUAAUACUUUGCUGUUUUGACGUUACCGACAGAAUAAGCACCGGCUAACUCUGUGCCAGCAGCCGCGGUAAUACAGAGGGUGCAAGCGUUAAUCGGAAUUACUGGGCGUAAAGCGCGCGUAGGUGGUUUGUUAAGUUGGAUGUGAAAUNCNCUGGGCUCAACCUGGGAACUGCAUUCAAAACUGACAAGCUAGAGUAUGGUAGAGGGUGGGUGGGAAUUUUCCUGUGUAGCGGUGAAAUGCGUAGAUAUAGGAAGGAACNNCNANUGGCGAAGGCGACNNNCUGGACUGAUACUGANNCUGAGGUGCGAAAGCGUGGGGAGCAAACAGGAUUAGAUACCNCUGGUAGUNNNCNNCGUAAACGAUGUCAACUANNNGUUGGGAGCNUUGAGCUCUUAGUGNGCAGCUAACGCAUUAAGUUGAC